Molecule: ribosomal RNA, 337 nt
Filed under: Nematodes sp. OTU161
Lineage: Eukaryota; Metazoa; Arthropoda; Insecta; Coleoptera; Eucnemidae
Description: SSU rRNA
Rfam family: Eukaryotic small subunit ribosomal RNA
Source: RNAcentral
CGUGGCGUGAGUCGUCUGCUUAAUUGCGAUAACGAGCGAGACUCCAACUGCUAAAUACACUGAUGAUUGUUUUGUCGUUAUGUGUUCUUAGCUGGAUUCGCGGCUUCAAGUCGCAAGAAAUGGAGCAAUAACAGGUCUGUGAUGCCCUUAGAUGUUCGGGGCGGCACGCGUGCUACAAUGAUGACAACAGCAUGCUUGUGCUCGACCGACAGGUCUUGCCAAACAUUUGAGAUGUUAUUAUGGCUGGAAUUGAGUGUUGAAACUUUCUCUCAUGAACGAGGAAUUCCAAGUAAAUGCAAGUCAUCAACUUGCAUUGAUUACGUCCCUGCCCUUUGUA